Molecule: long non-coding RNA, 750 nt
Organism: Drosophila pseudoobscura
Lineage: Eukaryota; Metazoa; Arthropoda; Insecta; Diptera; Drosophilidae
Exons: 2
Source: RefSeq, a predicted model, not a curated record
GUUAUAAACUUCAAUUGAAAUACUUUUGGAAGCAGUACAGAUUUUAAAACGAUAAAAAUAAAAACAGUUUUAUCACUAUCGGUGUUUUUGUCCACAAGCAAUCGGUGUGCUGCCACCACCAGCUGAGAUCGCCUUUGAAUUGUACAGAUACAAAUUUGUUUUUUCAAUUUAAUAGGAACUACGGACUAUUUGGAAAAGUAUAGAUUGAGCGUGCGAAUAUCCUGAAAUUUCCCACAACAUCAUAAGAUUCAUUCGGAACCAAGAGUGAAGUGCCAAUGCGCCUUGAUCAACAUCAACCCAUCACCAAGUUGUUCAGGUUUUCUGAGAACCAGUCAGUCGGCGUUGUCAAAUCAAUCCUGCACCCAUCGGAGGUUCACUUGAGUGGCAUCCAUGCAUAUGUAACUAACAAAUCCCUUUCCAGGGAGACGUAUACAUUCCGGAAUGCACUGAUAUGCCUAGAAGUCCUAGAAGAUAUUGCGUGAUAAAACCAAAGUAUUUCUGUAUAUGGACAUAUGUAGGUACUGUGAGGCUCGCAUCCAUACAACAAGUAAAGUAAUGAAAUUAUUGAACUCGCGGAAAACAGAAAGAAAAGGUUCAUGGGGGAAAACCUCUGCCUAAGACGAUGCACGGAAUGCAGAGGACAUAAAAGUGAGAACGUCUCUUACUCGUUCUCGAUUUAAACGAGGAUUUCUGGAUAGUCGUAAUGGAUUAUCUGGACAUAUUAAACCAGCUAAGCUUUGCUUCUACAAA